AGCGAACGCUGGCGGCAGGCCUAACACAUGCAAGUCGAACGGAUCCUUCGGGAUUAGUGGCGGACGGGUGAGUAACACGUGGGAACGUGCCCUUUGGUUCGGAACAACUCAGGGAAACUUGAGCUAAUACCGGAUGUGCCCUUCGGGGGAAAGAUUUAUCGCCAUUGGAGCGGCCCGCGUCUGAUUAGCUAGUUGGUGAGGUAACGGCCCACCAAGGCGACGAUCAGUAGCUGGUCUGAGAGGAUGAUCAGCCACACUGGGACUGAGACACGGCCCAGACUCCUACGGGAGGGAGCAGUGGGGAAUCUUGCGCAAUGGGGGAAAGCCUGACGCAGCCAUGCCGCGUGAAUGAUGAAGGUCGUAGGAUUGUAAAAUUCUUUCAGCGGGGACGAUAAUGACGGUACCCGCAGAAGAGGCUCCGGCUAACUACGUG
Molecule: ribosomal RNA, 433 nt
Filed under: uncultured bacterium
Lineage: Bacteria
Description: partial 16S ribosomal RNA
Rfam family: Bacterial small subunit ribosomal RNA
Source: RNAcentral